AUGGAUUUAAACCGACUUAAUACCACCCGAUCCACAUGAAUUAACGGUGAAACGAACAAGCCCUUAAACUGAUUUCAAAAGCAGGAACACAGUAGUUUUCUUUCUUAGAGAAUGAUUUACAAUAAUAUAAAACAUAUAUACGGUAGCAUCGAUGUUUUAAAUAGCUAAUUUCUGAAAUUGCCUUUUACAGCUGUGAAAACUGUGAUUUGAAACCUUGAUUAGCAUCAGUACCAGUAUAUCAGCCAUCCGUCCUUAUUAGGUUUCCCUGUGUAAUUUCAGGCACCAUGACUUCUCAGGCUCCUGUAAUGACUUCCUGAGUCCUGAACUAACCUAAGGAUACCGAGGCUGUACGUGGCACUGGCACUCCAGAAUCCAGAUGGCAAGAACUUGGCAGUGAAUCCAAUUGAUUCUAACAUUUUUGUUAUAUGAUACUGUUAGCUGCUCUCACUAGGAUGAAUGUUCAAACUGUACAUAGCACUGGCUCUAUAAUAUGAUCUUUUUAUUUCCUGAUUUGCGCCAGAACUGAUAUUUUGUGGCAGAGGACGCGUAUUGUUUAGCAUAUUGGUUUGUUUCAGACAAAGAUCAGACUAGUAUGCUGUAUGCCUUUAAAA
RNAcentral lists this long non-coding RNA (611 nucleotides) under Zea mays. RNAcentral describes it as "drought-responsive long non-coding RNA". Lineage: Eukaryota; Viridiplantae; Streptophyta; Magnoliopsida; Poales; Poaceae. The record is from RNAcentral.